AUGAAUAUCGUCACGGGUGCCAUGGGCAGCCUGCUCCCCAAGCUGGGUCAGCUGCUCAUGGAUGAGUACAACCUGCACAAGCGCGUCAAGAAAGAUGUCGAGUUCCUCAGGAAGGAGCUUGAGAGCAUGCACGCUGCCCUCAUCAAGGUUGGCGAGGUGCCGCCGGACCAGCUCGACGGGCAAGUCAAGCUCUGGGCCGACGAGGUCAGAGACCUCUCCUACAACAUGGAGGAUGUCGUUGACAAGUUCCUCGUACGCGUGGAUGGCGACGGCAUUCAGCUGCCUCACGACAACUCCAGCAGAUUCAAGGAGCUCAAGAACAAGAUGAUCGGCUUGUUCAAGAAAGCCAAGAAUCACCAUCGCAUAGCUGACGCGGUCAAGGAAAUCAAGGAGCAACUCCAGGAGGUGGCUGCUAGGCGUGACAGGAACAAGGUAGUUGUUCCUAAUCCUACGGAACCAAUUACUAUCGAUCCUUGUCUUCGAGCUUUGUACGCAGAAGCGACGGAGCUAGUUGGCAUAUAUGGGAAGAAGGACCAGGAGCUCAUGAGGUUGCUCUCCAUGGAGGGUGAUGAUGCCUCUAAGAACAGACUAAAGAAGGUCUCCGUUGUUGGAUUUGGCGGAUUAGGCAAGACCACUCUUGCUAGAGCAGUAUACGACAAGAUUAAAGGUGAUUUUGAUUGUCGGGCAUUUGUUCCGGUUGGGCAGAAUCCUGAUAUGAAGAAGGUUUUAAGGGAUAUCCUCCUUGAUCUUGGCAACCCUCAAUCAGAUCUUGCUAUGCUGGGUGCCAAUCAGCUCAUCAAAAAGCUUCAUGAAUUCCUAGAGAACAGAAGGUAUCUUGUGAUAAUUGAUGAUAUAUGGGAUGAAAAACUGUGGGAAGGCAUUAGCUUUGCUUUCUCCAACAGGAAUAAUCUAGGCAGUCGGCUAAUAACCACAACCCGCGAUUUCGAUGUCUCCAAAUCAUGUUGCUUAUCGGCUGAUGAUUCAAUAUAUAAAAUGAAAUCUCUUUCUACUGAUGACUCCAGAAGGCUCUUUCAUAAGAGAAUAUUUCCUGACGCUAGUGGAUGCCCAAGUGAAUUUCAACAAGUGUCUGAAGACAUAUUGAAGAAAUGUGGUGGAGUACCACUGGCCAUCAUUACUAUUGCUAGUGCUUUGGCUAGUGGCCAGCAAGUGAAACCAAAGCAUGAGUGGGAUAUUCUACUCCAGUCCCUUGGCUCCGGAGUAACAAAAGAUAAUAGUUUGGUUGAGAUGCGGAGAAUACUAUCUUUCAGCUAUUAUAAUCUACCGUCUCAUCUGAAAACUUGUCUACUAUACCUAUGUAUAUAUCCAGAAGAUAGCACCAUUGAUAGAGAUAGACUGAUAUGGAAGUGGGUGGCCGAAGGAUUUGUCCACCAUGGAGAUCAAGGGACCAGCCUGUUUUUGGUCGGAUUAAACUACUUCAACCAACUCAUUAAUAGAAGUAUGAUCCAGCCAAUAUAUGAUAAUAUAGGCCAGAUAUAUGGUUGCCGUGUACAUGAUAUGGUUCUUGAUCUAAUCUGCAACUUGUCACAUGAAGCAAAGUUUGUUUAUGUAUUGGAUGGUACUGGGGAUAACAUGUCUUUUCAAGGCAAUGUUCGUCGUUUGUCCAUUCAAGACAGAAAUAAAGAUCAUCAAGGCACACCUCUCACAGAUUUCAUGGGUAUAUCACGAGUAAGAUCCAUUACUAUCUUUAAAUCUGCUAUUAAGAUCAUGCCAACCCUGUCAAGGUUUGAAGUUUUGCGUGUACUUGAUUUGUCGGCCUGUAACCUGAGAAAAAGUAGCAGCCUGGAAGGUGUUGGACACCUAAUUCACCUGAGAUACCUUGGUCUAUCAGGUAUUGGAUUCAGGGAACUCUCGACUGAGAUAGGAAAGUUGCAAUUUUUGGAGGUGUUGGAUCUUAGAAUCAAUAAAUACCUAGAUGAAUUGCCGUCCACUCUUUGUAAUUUGAGAAGAUUAAUCUGCCUAAAUGUUUGUCCCUGUAAGCUGGUUCCAGCAGCUGGUGUGUUGCAGAAUCUGACAUCCAUAGAAGUGUUGAGGGGGGUCUUGAUCUCUCUGAACAUUAUUGCACAAGAAUUUGGCAAUCUGGCAAGGCUAAGGAAGCUUCAUAUUGAGUUCAAGGAUGGUAGUUUGGAUUUGUAUGAAGGUUUCGUUAAUUCUCUGUGCAACUUACAUCGUAUUGAAAGUCUACGUAUUGAUUGCAAUUCCAGAGAAACAUCUUCUGAACUGAUGGAUCUCUUGGGAGAACGUUGGGUGCCUCCUGUACAUCUCCGUGAAUUUGAGUCUUGGAUGCCCAGCCAACUCUCUACACUGCGAGGGUGGAUAAAGAGAGACUCCUCACAUCUCUCGAACCUCUCUGAUUUAAUCCUCAAUUCAGUGAAGGAAGUGCAACAGGAGGACGUGGAAAUCAUCGGGGGGUUGCUGUCCCUUCGCCGGCUCUGCAUAAGGAGCACCCACCAAACACAGCGGCUGCUAGUCAUCCGUGCAGAUGGGUUCCGCUGUAUGGUACAGUUUGAGUUGAAUUGUGGGUCAGCGACGCAGCUAAUGUUUGAACCAGGAGCUUUGCCGAGGGCGGAGGCAGUUGAGUUCAGCCUGGGCGUGCGGGUGGCGAAAGAGGAUGGUAAUUGUGGUUUCGACUUGGGCCUGCAGGGGAACCUGCUCUCCCUUCGGCGGUAUGUCAGGGUUUGGAUGUAUUGUGGUGGAGCGAGGGUUGGGGAGUUCAAGGAAGCGGAGGCUGCGGUGAGGUGCGCCCUCGAAGCCCAUCCCAACCAUCCCGCGAUUGAAAUUAACAUGUUCGCAUAUAGUAUAGCAGAAGGUGCUCAUGAUGACGAUUUGUGUGAGGAGAACUGA
Molecule: ribosomal RNA, 2862 nt
Filed under: Triticum aestivum (bread wheat)
Lineage: Eukaryota; Viridiplantae; Streptophyta; Magnoliopsida; Poales; Poaceae
Description: partial small subunit ribosomal RNA
Source: RNAcentral